Molecule: non-coding RNA, 26 nt
Filed under: Homo sapiens (human)
Lineage: Eukaryota; Metazoa; Chordata; Mammalia; Primates; Hominidae
Source: RNAcentral
UGCUUGGUGCUCUGUAGCUGGAAGGA